This 592-nucleotide long non-coding RNA is filed under the name Phoenix dactylifera (date palm). RNAcentral's name for it is "long non-coding RNA (PDAC_LNC020329)". The record is from RNAcentral. Lineage: Eukaryota; Viridiplantae; Streptophyta; Magnoliopsida; Arecales; Arecaceae.
GACCGGCCGCAUGAGCCCUAGAGCAGUGCCCUAAAGAUCAUGUAAGGCCUAUGAUUAACAAAAAUUCCAAUAAAUCCACAAUUAAUCUAGUAAUUCAAAUAGAGCAGUCCGACAUGUCUAAAUAAACAAAUUAGUUCAAUUACAAGAUCUUCAAAUGUUCAUCGACAUCAAAGAAGGACAAACAAACUAACUAGCUAAUGACUCUGAUACUUGCACUCUGCGCCCAUCCCAUCCAAAUCUAAGCAUCCUGCAACUCUGAUAAAAAGAAAGAAGAAAAGGGGAUGAGCUUUACAGCCCAGUAAGAAUUCCUAUACAUCCACACCAACACAAUAAUAAUAAAAAUAUGAAAACCACGACAAGUCAAAGCACAUAUCAUGGAGUCAUAAACCGGCUAUCAAAGCUCAAAUAAUCGAUACAAGUAUGUACAUCAAACAUCAAUAAAAGUCUAGCCACACAAGAAAUAUAUAGCAUAUGAUAGCUCAUAAACCUGUAUUAUAGUUUCAAUGUCUUUUCUUCAACUUGAUCCGGUUUAAUUAUCUUUCCGACUUUGGGUCAAAUCUCGGUCACAUUUCUCAGCCUGUGGUGGGGCAAC